ACUUCUUGUACUUUGUAACCUAAUCUCUUCAUCUUGCUCUUUUUUCUCUCUCACAAAAAAAUAUUUUUCUUUUUUCUCCCAAUCAAAAAAAUAGAUCUAGAUCGAAGAACAUCAAAAUCAUUUUGAUUUCUUUGUUUUUUUCUAAGAAUAAUCAAGAAGAAAAUAGAUCUAGAUCGAAGAACAUCAAGAUUAUUUUGAUUUCUUUGUUUUUCAAGAAUAAUGAAGAAAAAAAAAUAGAUCUUGAUCGAAGAAUAUCAAAAUUUUGUUUUUCAAGAAUAAUCAAGAAGAAUACACGGCCUAGGCAUCUGCAAUAUACAGUGUCAUGGCAUCUGUAGGAACAUGUCAAACAAAGAUCUGAAAGAAAUAAAGAUACCUUUCUCCUUAAGGUGGACAGGACAGACUUUGGAGGUAAAAGUGCAGCCGACAGAUUACACCGCAAUCAACAGUCAGAAUUUCACAAGCUGACAGUCGGUCACCAUUGAGCACUUACUAAGAUAAACUGUUAGUAAAUGUGUAUAUCCAUUCCUUACUCAGCAAAUGUACAAUCCAUGUAAAAAUGCAGCAGAGAUUUACAUCAAAUGUACAAUCCAUUCCUUUGUAUGUAAAAGUGCAGCAGAGAUUACAGCACAAUCAACAAUCAGAAUUCACCUCAAUGAAAACUAGAAGUCGACGGUCUGUCGGUAUUGAGCUCA
Long non-coding RNA from Solanum tuberosum (potato), 692 nucleotides. RefSeq lists it as uncharacterized. The transcript is spliced from 3 exons. The record is from RefSeq and is a predicted model, not a curated record. NCBI's taxonomy places the organism in Eukaryota, Viridiplantae, Streptophyta, Magnoliopsida, Solanales, Solanaceae.